Molecule: non-coding RNA, 122 nt
Organism: Aspergillus egyptiacus
Lineage: Eukaryota; Fungi; Ascomycota; Eurotiomycetes; Eurotiales; Aspergillaceae
Source: the annotation of a GenBank genome assembly
AGCCGAGUGGCCUAGUGGUAAGGCGCCAGUUUUCGGGUAAACUUUAUUCCGUUCCGUUGGAGUAAGGUAUUGCUUAUUAUCACAUGCACUGGAGAUCGCGGGUUCGAAUCCCGUCUCGGUUG